This 433-nucleotide ribosomal RNA is filed under the name uncultured bacterium. RNAcentral's name for it is "partial 16S ribosomal RNA". It matches the Rfam family "Bacterial small subunit ribosomal RNA", at positions 29 to 507 of the family's 1533-position model. The record is from RNAcentral.
AACGAAAGAGGGAGGAAGGAAGAACACAUGCAAGUCGAACGAAGUCUUCGGACUUAGUGGCGCACGGGUGCGUAACGCGUGGGAAUCUGCCCUUGGGUACGGAAUAACUCAGAGAAAUUUGUGCUAAUACCGUAUAAUGUCUUCGGACCAAAGAUUUAUCGCCCAAGGAUGAGCCCGCGUAAGAUUAGCUAGUUGGUGGGGUAAAAGCCUACCAAGGCGACGAUCUUUAGCUGGUCUGAGAGGAUGAUCAGCCACACUGGGACUGAGACACGGCCCAGACUCCUACGGGAGGCAGCAGUGGGGAAUAUUGGACAAUGGGCGAAAGCCUGAUCCAGCAAUGCCGCGUGAGUGAUGAAGGCCCUAGGGUUGUAAAGCUCUUUUACCAGGGAUGAUAAUGACAGUACCUGGAGAAUAAGCUCCGGCUAACUCCGUG